Molecule: ribosomal RNA, 482 nt
Filed under: uncultured bacterium
Lineage: Bacteria
Description: partial 16S ribosomal RNA
Rfam family: Bacterial small subunit ribosomal RNA
Source: RNAcentral
GACGAACGCUGGCGGCGUGCUUAACACAUGCAAGUCGAACGAUGAAGAAGAGAAACGCGAACUUCGGUUCAAAUUUCACUUCGGAUUAGUGGCAGACGGUUGAGUAACGCGUGAGCAACCUACCUCUUACAAAGGGAUAGCCUCGGGAAACCGUGAUAAGUACCAGAUGACACAUUCAUAAGGCAUCUUAAGAAUGUUAAAGCUACGGCGGUAAGAGAUGGGCUCGCGUCCCAUUAGCUAGUUGGGGAGGUAACGGCCCACCAAGGCGACGAUGGGUAACCGGGCUGAGAGGCUGAACGGUCACAUUGGAACUGAGACACGGUCCAAACUCCUACGGGAGGCAGCAGUGGGGAAUAUUGCACAAUGGAGGGAACUCUGAUGCAGCGCCGCCGCGUGAGCGAUGAAGGAAUUCGUUUCGUAAAGCUCUGUUCUAUGGGAAGAAAAGGACUGUACCAUAGGAGAAAGCCCCGGCUAACUACGUG